UGGCACCCGUUUGGGGCUCCUGGUAUGAAGGGCUCAAUGAGGGAGCCGUCCUGAGACACGUGCGUAAAAGUGAAACUACAAGUUUUGUGACCAACGCUACGCGGGAGCCUUCCGUGCCACUAGAGUCAUGGUAAGUGGAUGGCUAUCCUUUCCCUUUUUUUGUGGCAUGGGUCAGGCAUUAAGUAAUCAUAAGUGCUUUGUGUCAAGUUUAAGUAAAGCUUUAAAGACAAGAGGGAUAAAGGCUAAAGAAAAAGAUUUAUUGCAGUACUUUCAAUUUAUUCCUAAGGUUUGCCCUU
Cavia porcellus (domestic guinea pig) is the source of this 296-nucleotide regulatory RNA element. It matches the Rfam family "Mason-Pfizer monkey virus packaging signal". From Rfam's summary of the family: The packaging signal is located in the 5' UTR and is required for specific RNA encapsidation. The record is from Rfam. Lineage: Eukaryota; Metazoa; Chordata; Mammalia; Rodentia; Caviidae.